RNAcentral lists this long non-coding RNA (4668 nucleotides) under Sus scrofa (pig). RNAcentral describes it as "lncRNA (ENSSSCG00055024175.1)". Lineage: Eukaryota; Metazoa; Chordata; Mammalia; Artiodactyla; Suidae. The record is from RNAcentral.
AGCUCAGACCAACUAAAUAAGAAUCUGUGGAGGUAUCAGUAUUUAAAAUCUAAUCAGGUGAUUUCAAUGGGUAGAUAAUCCUGAGAACCACUAUGAGGGCUUUCUGAUCCUUAUGAAAUCUUUCUAAGAAUAAAAAUAUCAUCGGAUCAUUAUGCUCCCGGAAGAAUUCACUUUGUAUAAAAGUCAAAACCUUAAGACACAGGAACAAAUCACUAAAUACUCUUGGGAAAGAACUCAAUGCGGGCAGAGUAGCCUUCUCUUAACCACCCCGGUCUAAACUUCCUGUGAUCAUGCAAAUGUCUGAUCUCAUCUCUUUCUCUGUUAAGCCUAAAAUAACUUAUCCAUUUAGAGAUCUCUGUGCUGGAGGAAAAUGUCUUUCAGUGAAGUGUGUGCCUGGGUUUGGCCUCCCCAGUUCGUGCCCUGCAGCCAAACAUCAGGACAUGAAGAAGGAUGCCAGGACACAGGGGUUUGUUGUUUCAGACUUUUUUUGCUUUUGAAUCUGACUCUGAACUCAGACCCAGCUAAUGCUUCCCUCUCUAUUCCCCUCCACCCCCCCCAUCUGUUUAUUUCCCUGGGGAAUGUGCUGACAGCCUGCCCUUUGGUGCUGAAUUCCCAGAGGCUGGGCAUUUGGGUGAGGAAUUCCAGAAGUGGGCAGUGGCUGGUUCUGCCCCCACCUGCUAGUUCACAGCUGGCUUCCCACUAGGGACAGAGAUUCUUCCAGAGUCCUGGUCCUCAUUUUCUCCCUCCUGAUUGCCAGAGGUGGUGGUGAAGUCUUGGCCUUAGGUCAACUCCGACUGGGAGCAGGUCCCUCCUAGGGAUGUUCCAUCAGAAAACUUCCAGGAAUGAAGGAAAAUGUGGGAGAAGGAAGCCAAAAGACCAGGAGAAAAGAGCCAGGAAUGUCUAGGUGGAGAUGGAGAUCUCCAGGAGUAAGGAGAGGCUUAUACCUGAUGAUGCACCACUGCAACUGGAGUCUGCUGGUCUGGAAGCUUCUUGACCCACUGGAGAGAUACUUCCACUGAAGGACAUGAUAAAAUCCUACAGAACUGGGACUGCCACUGGUGACGUAAUAAGUGCUGAGGCUCCAGGGUCUUGGCAAAGGAGCUUGAUGUUGAUGUUGAGGUAUAUUGGUGGCAGUUAUGUUCACCAUUUGCCCCGAGUUUGCAAAGUGGUGAGGAAUAACCUCUAGCAAGAGUAGCAGAGGGAACACAAGAGGAGUAUCAUCGAGAGAUCAUGGAUUCGAUGCUGAGAAACAAGUUUGUAAAUAGCUACACAACACAGUAUCUGCAGGAUGCACGCCUUUGGUUGUGUCCCUGCUGGGAGCAGGUGAGUUGUGUGCAGCUGUGUGUUUGAGAGGGGUUAUAAUCUUUCCAGUGUUGCGCAGAACCUUGUAAUAUGUAUACUACUAUAAAAGAAUAAUUACAACUAACUCAUUCUUUGGGGUGAGCUGUGAGGACAGAAGGGUGUGUUGCAGGUGUGCAGGCAGGGGUCUGCUGUGUUCCACAUUCUUCUCGAGCUGAAACUAUCUGGCCUUCAGCCACCUGCUCUGAAAUGGAGCCCUUGGCUGGCCUUUGCACAGGAGGAACCACUGACUGGGUCAGGACAACCAAUCUCCACACUGGUCUUUUUUUUUUUUUUUUUUUUUUUGUUUUUUUGUCUUUUCUUGAGCCACUCCUGCGGCAUAUGGAGGUUCCCAGGCCAGGAGUCUAAUCAGAGCCGGCCUACACCAGCACCACAGCAACGCGGGAUCCGAGCCAUGUCUGUGACCUACACCACAGCUCACGGCAAUGUGGGAUCCUUAACCCACUGAGCAAGGCCAGGGAUCGAACCCACAACCUCAUGGUUCCUAGUCGGAUUCGUUAACAACUGUGCCAAAAUGGGAACUCCCUCCACACUGGUCUUAACAUAGGCUGGGAUGAAAAAAAUGACCUCAAUAAAUAGAUUUUCUUUCUUAGAAAUCUGAACUGAAUGUACAAAAAGAAUUUGCUAUUAGGAAGUAGAAGGUGUGAGGAGGUAGCUGAGUCACAUUGAUGUCUGGGUGCUAGUAAAUGCAGACAAUCCUUCCUUCCUGGAGCUAUGAGGCCAUGAUGGCUCGUGUUUCUGGAUAUGCAUUUGUGAUGCUUGGCUUUGUGUCACCUUGGCUGGGCUGUAACACCCAGUUAUUUUCAAAUUCUAAUCUAGGUUUGUUAUGAAGGUAUUUUGUAGAUGUGGUUAAAAUCUACAAUCAGCUGAAUUUAAGUUAAGAGGAUUCCCCUCAAAUAAUGUGGUUGGGGAGUUCUCACCGUGGCGCAGUGGGUUAAAUAACUGUCUUCAGUGGCUUGGGUUGCUACAAAGGUGCGGGUUUGAUCCCCAGCCGUACACAGUGGGUUAAAGUACCCAUUGUUGCCACAGUUGCAUCGUAGACUGUAGCUGUGGCUCAGAUUCAAUCCCUGGCCCAGGAAUUUCCAUAUGCUGUGGGUGUGGCCUAAAAAAAAAAUAACGUCAUUGGGCCUCAUUCAUUGGGUUGAAGACAUUAAAAGCAAAAGUUGGGGUUUCUCAGAGAAGAAAUUCUGCUCAAGACAGCAGCAUGAACUCCUGCGACUAUUGGAGAACACUGACUGAUACCCCAUGAGAGUCAGUCUUCUUCAUCACUCCAUGGCACUUGCAUCAAAGAGCUCUUCUCUCUGACUUUGUUCCUUAAAAUCAAAAGAACCUAGACAGAAAACUCAGCAGUAUCCAAUACUUUUGUGAGAUUGUGGUUCAUAGUAUUGGGAGGCAGUGAUGCAGUCUAUAGUGAAUGCUUGGUGUACAUAUGGAUUCUCAGGUUCUCCAAGUACUUUCAGGUUCCUCCAAGCCUCCAGGAAUUGGGAAGCACAGGUUGACCUAUGCUGUCCUAGGCAUGGAGUAUCAUUAGCUGCCUUUGCCCUGCACACCAGCACAGUAUGAAACAGAUACAAGGUUCUAGGAAGCAAUCCUAUUCUUCCAGAUUUAAUUAGUGCAGCCUGCUUGAUCUUGUUGGGAGAAUGAGCAGCCCAACCUAUGGUAGAGCAGACAGGGACUUUAGAAUACAAUAGGUAGGUCCCCAAAGAUACUCCCAUUCUGAAUUCUCCCUUAUACCUCUCCCUUAUAUCUCCACUGGAGAUAUGCCUCUGCCUUCCUGUAUAAACCUCAAACUCAUCCCUUCAACUCUACUCCACCCUGUAGGUAGCUGCGCUGCCUGGAUCAGCCCUUUAUUGCACAUGGCUUAUUCUCUGAUUUAAAAAAAUCAUACACAAAAUGUAGGAAAAAAUGAUCACUGAUGGCUGGCAGGCUGAAGGAAGAGAAGGCAAGGCAUGGGCUCCUACUCUGGGUGGGAUCAAGCCCUAGGCACUAGAAUCCUUUGGGAAGAGGAUUAGAGGUAGAUGUUGGGGUGAUGGGAGCAAGAGCCAUCAGAAAAGGAGGGCCCAGGAAGACAAAUUUUACCUAUUUUAUUUCCCUCUUCAGGCUUUGAAGAAGCCAGCACAGAGUUUCAUGCUCAAUUACAAUAAUCAUAUUGAUUGUAAUGAUUGGCAUUCUUCUCCUUAUUGGCCUUUUCUCCUUAUUGCUUAUAUUAAUCCUUUACAAAAAGGCUUUAUUAGUCAUUUUAAGAAACAAAUACAUUGAGAAACUUGCUGUUUUGUAAGGGAGAUAUGACAGCCUGCAGUGGUAGGAAAGAGUCCAGUUUUGGAGUUGGACUCACUUGUAUUUCACUUUAGGCUCUGUCACUGGUUGUGAGACAUCGGUCAAUUUACUUAACCUCUAUGAACUUGUUUCUUCAUCUAUAAAACUGUGAUAAUAAUACCUACCCCGCAGGAACUUUAUUCAGACUCAUGGUGGGUAUAUGCAGAGGGCUUCAUGUGAUGUCUGGAAGCUCUGUCACACUGCCUCACACUCUGGAAUAAUGGCAGAGGAGUAAGGAGCCCAUACAAUGUUGCAGGUGAUGCACUAAACACGUUAGCUCAUUUGACACAGAACCAGGUCCUCUUGGCCUUCAUUCUCCCUGCCACUCUCCCCACCUAGGCCUGCGUCAUUUCUAAGAAAGGAUUGCUGUGAGGGAAGCAGAAUACAGGACUAACUCCUCUCCUUAAGAAUUAAUGACCUGCAGUUGAUUUCUAGUUUCAUGCCAUUGUGGUCAGAGAAGAUACUUGAAAUAACCACAGGAAAAGAAAUGAGAAAAAACUUACUGCAUGGAGACUAAACAACAUGCGGUUGAAAAACCAAUGAGUCAAUGAGGAAAUCAAGAAGAAAAUUAAAAAAUACCUUGAGACAAAUGAUAAUGAAGACACAACCACUCAAAAUCUAUGGGAUGCUGCAAAAGCAGUGCUUAGAGGGAAAUUCAUGGCAAUACAGGCCUUCCUCAAAAAAGAAGAAAAUUCUCAAAUGGACAAUUUAACCCAACACCUAAAUGAAUUAGAAAAAGAAGAACAAACAAAACCUAAAGUCAGCAGAAGGAAGGAAAUCAUAAAGAUCAAAGAGGAAAUCAAUAAAAUAGAGAUUAAAAAAAAUAGAAAAAAAUCAAUAAAACCAAGAUCUGGUUCUUUAAAAAGGUAAACUAAAUUGACAAACCUCUGGCUAGACUCACCAAGAAGUGAAGAGAAAAAACCCAAAUAAACAAAAUAAGAAAUGAAAAAGGAGAGGUUACAACAGAUACUACAGAAAUAAAAAAAAAAAAAA